Molecule: ribosomal RNA, 293 nt
Filed under: uncultured bacterium
Lineage: Bacteria
Description: partial 16S ribosomal RNA
Rfam family: Archaeal small subunit ribosomal RNA
Source: RNAcentral
GUGCCAGCAGCCGCGGUAAUACCGGCAGCCCGAGUGAUGGCCGAUCUUAUUGGGCCUAAAGCGUCCGUAGCCAGCCGAACAAGUCCGUUGGGUAAUCCACCCGCCUAACGGGUGGGCGUCCAGCGGAAACUGUCCGGCUUGGGGCCGAACGACCCGAGGGGUACGUCCGGGGUAGGAGUGAAAUCCUGUAAUCCUGGACGGACCGCCGGUGGCGAAAGCACUUCGAGAAGACGGAUCCGACAGUGAGGGACGAAAGCCAGGGUCUCCAACCGGAUUAGAUACCCUGGUAGUCC